This is a non-coding RNA of Cinara cedri, 228 nucleotides long. The record is from the annotation of a GenBank genome assembly. NCBI's taxonomy places the organism in Eukaryota, Metazoa, Arthropoda, Insecta, Hemiptera, Aphididae.
CAAUAAGUUUCUUUUAUCAUGUACGUUAAUUUUUCCGUUUUACCUGAAUUUUCCCAACUAUUAUGAAAACUGCUUGGAAAACCAAUAAAAUAAAAUCCUUAAAAUUUUCUUUUUUGAAAAGGUACUAUUCUUGAAAAUUAAAACAAGAUUUCUAGCUGAGGAGUGUUCACAUAUAAAAAAAAUAAAUAUCAAUGUAAAAACAAGUAUAUUUCUCGCUACGCCCCAAUU